This 492-nucleotide ribosomal RNA is filed under the name uncultured bacterium. RNAcentral describes it as "partial 16S ribosomal RNA". It matches the Rfam family "Bacterial small subunit ribosomal RNA", at positions 28 to 506 of the family's 1533-position model. The record is from RNAcentral.
GACGAACGCUGGCGGCGUGCUUAACACAUGCAAGUCGAACGGUGAAGCGCCUUCCUUUUUGGUGGGUGUGGAUGAGUGGCGAACGGGUGAGUAACACGUGAGUAACCUGCCCCCUUCUUCUGGAUAACCGCAUGAAAGUGUGGCUAAUACGGGAUAUUCUGGGUCUGUCGCAUGAUGGGUCUGGGAAAGAUAUUGUUUCGGUGGGGGAUGGGCUCGCGGCCUAUCAGCUUGUUGGUGGGGUGAUGGCCUACCAAGGCGGUGACGGGUAGCCGGCCUGAGAGGGUGGACGGUCACACUGGGACUGAGACACGGCCCAGACUCCUACGGGAGGCAGCAGUGUGAAUAUUGCACAAUGGGCGCAAGCCUGAUGCAGCGACGCCGCGUGAGGGAUGGAGGCCUUCGGGUUGUGAACCUCUUUCGCCAGUGAAGCAGGCCUGCCUCGUUUGUGGGUGGGUUGACGGUAGCUGGAUAAGAAGCGCCGGCUAACUACGU